Molecule: ribosomal RNA, 497 nt
Filed under: uncultured bacterium
Lineage: Bacteria
Description: partial 16S ribosomal RNA
Rfam family: Bacterial small subunit ribosomal RNA
Source: RNAcentral
GAUGAACGCUGGCGGCGUGCCUAAUACAUGCAAGUCGAGCGAACAGACGAGGUGCUUGCUCCUCUGACGUUAGCGGCGGACGGGUGAGUAACACGUGGAUAACCUACCUAUAAGACUGGGAUAACUUCGGGAAACCGGAGCUAAUACCGGAUAAUAUAUUGAACCGCAUGGUUCAAUAGUGAAAGACGGUUUUGCUGUCACUAAUAGCUGGAUCCGCGCCGCAUUAGCUAGUUGGUAAGGUAACGGCUUACCAAGGCGACGAUGCGUAGCCGACCUGAGAGGGUGAUCGGCCACACUGGAACUGAGACACGGUCCAGACUCCCACGGGAGGCAGCAGUGGGGAAUCUUCGGCAAUGGGCGAAAGCCUGACGGAGCAACGCCGCGUGAGUGAUGAAGGUCUUCGGAUCGUAAAACUCUGUUAUUAGGAAAGAACAAAUGUGUAAGUAACUAUGCACGUCUUGACGGUACCUAAACAGAAAGCCACGGCUAACUACGUG